This 764-nucleotide long non-coding RNA is filed under the name Homo sapiens (human). Its description in RNAcentral is "HSALNT0133957". The record is from RNAcentral. Lineage: Eukaryota; Metazoa; Chordata; Mammalia; Primates; Hominidae.
GACAGGAGUCACAAAGCACAUACACAGCUGUGCCCAAUACAUCGUGCAGCCAAGUACACACAAUAGGAGGCAGUUUAACAAGUAGGGAAGACAUAUACCUGCUCCUUCCGAGUUUCACCUGGAGGAAGAGUCUACAAAGAAAGGGAAGAAGGUUGCAUCUGGUAACAGAGUGAAGUGGAAGAGAUCUUGCAACAUUUCCUGCCCCACUGACCCCCUACUUUGGGCCUUAGCCCCAAGAGAAGAAGUAUGACUACCCUACUGUUCACAAACAAAGAUGUGGAAUCAACCUAAGUGUCCAUCAAUGGAUAAUUGGAUAAAGAAAAUGUGGCAUAGAUCUAUACAAUGGAAUACUAUUCAGCUAUAAAAAAGACUGAAAUCACAUCUUUUACAAAAACAUGGAUGAAACUGGAGGCCAUUCUCUUUAAGUGAAAUCACUCGGAAAUAGAAAGUCAAAUACCGCAUGUUCUCACUUACAAGUGGGAGCUACAUAAUAUGUACUCAUGGACAUAGAGUGUGGAAUGAUGGACAUUGGAGACUUGGAAGGGUGGAGGUGGAUGGGAGGGGUUGAGGGAUGAGAAAUUAUUUAAUAGGUACAAUGUAUAUUAUUUCGGUGAUGGUUACACUAAAAACCCAGACUUCACCACUGGGCAAUAUAUCCGUGUAAUAAAACUGCAUUUGUACCCCUUAAAUUUAUACAACUAAUAAAUAAAGAAGUAUGGCUACUCUUCUAGAGAAAUAACAUGGAGAGGUCCUGAACAGCAGCA